UUCUUCAGGAGGAUAUCUGGUUUUGGAGUGAUGGAUCAGAGUUUGAGUACAGUGACUGGCAUACUGGUGAACCAAAUAAUGGAGGAGGAAAUGAACGUUGUGUGGAAAUGGGCUAUGGAGGUGAGAAACGCUGGAAUGACGCACACUGCGAUACUCUUCUCAAUUUCAUCUGUUACAGAACAGCAAGAAUUGAUUUCUAAUCCUAAUUUUGAU
Molecule: long non-coding RNA, 213 nt
Organism: Sinocyclocheilus grahami
Lineage: Eukaryota; Metazoa; Chordata; Actinopteri; Cypriniformes; Cyprinidae
Exons: 2
Source: RefSeq, a predicted model, not a curated record